Molecule: long non-coding RNA, 1289 nt
Filed under: Salmo salar (Atlantic salmon)
Lineage: Eukaryota; Metazoa; Chordata; Actinopteri; Salmoniformes; Salmonidae
Description: lncRNA (ENSSSAG00000121042.1)
Source: RNAcentral
CUCCUGUUAUAUAUCUGUCCUGUAUCUUCUAUUGUUAUCAGACACCUCUCCUUUAACUCCUGUUGUUAUAUACACUACCGUUCAAUAGUUUUGGGGUCACUUAGAAAUGUCCUUGUUUUUGAAAGAAAAGCAAAAAAAUGUGCCCAUUAAAAUAACAUCAAAUUGAUCAGAAAUACAGUGCAGAAAUUGUUAAUGUCGUAAAUGACUAUUGUAUCUGGAAACGGCAGAUUUAAAAAAAAAUGUAAUAUCUACAUAGGCGUACAGAGGCCCAUUAUCAGCAACCAUCACUCCUGUGUUCCAAUGGCACGUUGUGUUAGCUAAUCCAAGUUUAUCAUUUUAAAAGGUUAAUUGAUCAUUAGAAAACCCUUUUGCAAUUAUGUUACAGUAGCACGGCUGAAAUCUGUUGUUUUGAUUAAAGAAGCAAUAAAACUGUCCUUCUUUAGACUAGUUGAGUAUCUAGAGCAUCAGCAUUUGUGGGUUCAAUUACAGGCUCAAAAUGGCCAGAAACAAAGUCCUUUCUUCUGAAACUCAUCAGUCUACUCUUGUUCUGAGAAAUGAAGGCGAGAAAUUGCCAAGAAACUGAAGAUCUCGUACAACGCUGUGUACUACUCCCGUCACAGCACAGCGCAAACUGGCUCUAACCAGAAUAGAAAGAGGAGUGGGAGGCCCCGGUGCACAACUGAGCAAGAGGACCAGUACAUUAGAGUGUCUAGUUUGAGAAACAGACGCCUCACAAGUCCUCAACUGACAGCUUCAUUAAAUAGGACCCGCAAAACACCAGUCUCAACGUCAACAGUGAAGAGGCGACUCCGGGAUGCUGGCCUUAUGGAUUAUCUACAGUGAGCUCCAAAAGUAUUGGGACAGUGACACGUUUCGUUGUUUUGGCUCUGUACUCCAGCAGUUUGGAUUUGAAAUGAUACAAUGACUAUGAGGUUAAAGUGCAGACUGUAGAAAUUAAUGGUAAAUAAUGUAUUGUGUUAUUUUGGAGUAACUUUUAUUGUAAAGAAGAAUAGAAUAUGUUUCUAAACGCCUACGUUAAUGUGGACGAUACCAUGAUAACGAAUAAUCCUGAUAGAAUCGUGAUUCAUGAGGAGUAAGAAAGUUACAGACGUACAAAUAUCAUACCCCCAAGAUAUGCUAACCUCUCACCAUUACAACAACAGGGGAGGUUAGCAUUUUAUACCAUACCCCCAAGACAUGCUAACCUCUCACCAUUACAAUAACAGGGGAGGUUAGCAUUUUAUAUCAUACCCCCAAGACAUGCUAACCUCUCACCAUUAUAAUAACAG